CCCUUAGGUCAGCGGCGGACGGGUGAGUAACACGUGGGUAACCUGCCUGUAAGACUGGGAUAACUCCGGGAAACCGGGGCUAAUACCGGAUGCUUGAUUGAACCGCAUGGUUCAAUCAUAAAAGGUGGCUUUUAGCUACCACUUACAGAUGGACCCGCGGCGCAAUAGCUAGUUGGUGAGGUAACGGCUCACCAAGGCGACGAUGCGUAGCCCACCUGAGAGGGUGAUCGGCCACACUGGGACUGAAACACGGCCCAGACUCCUACGGGAGGCAGCAGUAGGGAAUCUUCCGCAAUGGACGAAAGUCUGACGGAACAACGCCCCGUGAGUGAUGAAGGUUUUCGGAUCGUAAAACUCUGUUGUUAGGGAAGAACAAGUACCGUUCGAAUAGGGCGGUACCUUGACGGUACCUAACCAGAAAGCCACGGCUAACUACGUGCCAGCAGCCGCGGUAAUACGUAGGUGGCAAGCGUUGUCCGGAAUUAUUGGGCGUAAAGCGCGCGCAGGCGGUUUCUUAAGUCUGAUGUGAAAGCCCCCGGCUCAACCGGGGAGGGUCAUUGGAAACUGGGGAACUUGAGUGCAGAAGAAGAGAGUGGAAUUCCACGUGUAGCGGUGAAAUGCGUAGAGAUGUGGAGGAACACCAGUGGCGAAAGCGACUCUCUGGUCUGUAACUGACGCUGAGGCGCGAAAGCGUGGGGAGCGAACAGGAUUAGAUACCCUUGGUAGUCCACGCCGUAACGAUGAGUGCUAAGUGUUAGAGGGUUUCCGCCCUUUAGUGCUGCAGCAACGCAUUAAGCACUCCGCCUGGGGAGUACGUCGCAGACUGAACUCAAAG
This 835-nucleotide ribosomal RNA is filed under the name Bacillus licheniformis. Its description in RNAcentral is "bacterial SSU rRNA". It matches the Rfam family "Bacterial small subunit ribosomal RNA", at positions 84 to 906 of the family's 1533-position model. Lineage: Bacteria; Bacillati; Bacillota; Bacilli; Caryophanales; Bacillaceae. The record is from RNAcentral.